This 278-nucleotide ribosomal RNA is filed under the name uncultured soil bacterium. Its description in RNAcentral is "partial 16S ribosomal RNA". It matches the Rfam family "Bacterial small subunit ribosomal RNA", at positions 27 to 285 of the family's 1533-position model. The record is from RNAcentral.
GGAAUCAACGCUGGCGGCGUGCCUCAGACAUGCAAGUCGAACGCGAAAGUCUCCUUCGGGGGGCAAGUAGAGUGGCGCACGGGUGAGUAACACGUAGGUAAUCUACCUUUGGAUGGGGAAUAACAACCGGAAACGGUUGCUAAUACCGCAUAAUGCAGCGGCACCUAAUGGUGACAGUUGUUAAAGCGGGGGAUCGAAAGACCGUCGCGUCUGAAGAGGAGCCUGGCGGCGGAUUAGCUAGUUGGUAGGGUAACGGCCUACCAAGGCUACGAUCCGUA